Molecule: ribosomal RNA, 301 nt
Filed under: uncultured bacterium
Lineage: Bacteria
Description: partial 16S ribosomal RNA
Rfam family: Bacterial small subunit ribosomal RNA
Source: RNAcentral
CAGUCGCCGCGGUAAUACGGAGGGGGCUAGCGUUGUUCGGAAUUACUGGGUGUAAAGCGCACGUAGGCGGCUUUGUAAGUUAGAGGUGAAAGCCUGGAGCUCAACUCCAGAAUUGCCUUUAAGACUGCAUCGCUUGAAUCCAGGAGAGGUGAGUGGAAUUCCGAGUGUAGAGGUGAAAUUCGUAGAUAUUCGGAAGAACACCAGUGGCGAAGGCGGCUCACUAGACUGGUAUUGACGCUGAGGUGCGAAAGCGUGGGGAGCAAACAGGAUUAGAUACCCGAGUAGUCCCUGUCUCUUAUAC